RNAcentral lists this small RNA (725 nucleotides) under Cryptococcus neoformans H99. RNAcentral describes it as "Cryptococcus neoformans var. grubii H99 hypothetical RNA". The record is from RNAcentral. Lineage: Eukaryota; Fungi; Basidiomycota; Tremellomycetes; Tremellales; Cryptococcaceae.
UCUUAACCUACCGUCGGACACUCCUGCAUAAGAUCGUAACAUUAGAACUCGCCUUUCCUCAUUAUAUCCUUAACCUUGUGUAGUCUCAAGUUCAUGGCGCACUAUAUCGCAUCCAAAGAAGAAAGGAAGAAGAAAGAACGAGCUAAGAUGGAGAAAGGUCUGUGCUAUAGAAACGGCACAUUACGGAGUUAUUGUUGAAUAAUGGUUUAUUCGGCUAGUACCAGCGCGUAUCUAUCCAACCAGAAUCAGGUACAUAAAGGCUUACCUGGUACCAACGCUUAGCUCUCUGUCUAAUCAGAGUCAGAUAGAGGAAAGCAGUAGAAACCAAACUACGAUGGACCUAUAUACCUUUCUACGCUCGCCACUACAAGCUAAAUGAUAUCUAGGUAUCCACCUCGCUAAUCUAUAAGCAGGCCAUCGGUGACUUAAUCUGACAUCAUGGCCUCUCUUUUCUAUGUUAUCCCAAUCCCUACCUCGCUACCAUUCUCCCAACACCCGUCCCCCCCCACCCCCCGAGCGUGAUACCGAGACGGCGAGUGUGGUCGGAGCGAGAGUUGCCAGUGCCCUUCGAUGGGCGAGGCAGUAUAGCGAGCAAGGAAGGAAGCAGCAAAUGCGAUGUCGGUCCAUUGUAAGAACAGAGUUGUGGCUGGGCGAAAGGGGUUCUGUCGUUCAACAGCUCGACAUUUUUCUCUACGCCCUUCGCAUAGCCUCAUAUCGAAGCCAAG